GUAGUUUAACAACCAAAAAGAUGAGGCGGUAAGCAAAACCCCUCUUUGUGCCAAAAAGAUGAGCAGGUUUGGUGCAGUGCCGAGAGACAUGCCCGAAAAAGAUGGAAUCGAAAGAGGAAGCAAGCGCUCUUGCUUCCCACACCCAAUUAAGCUCAUCUCCAAGGGUGUGGAUUUUAUUCUUAAUCAAUCGGAUUGCCAAGAGGGAGUCUGAUUCCACUUUAAGCCGGGUACAAUAAAUAGUUUGGGCAUACUUAAAUCCUUCAAGAAUCCCUUUAAUUUCAGCCAGAAGAGGAGGUAAUGAAUAAGGAACAUACACGGAUUUGGCCACCAUCACAGCUCCAUCAGAACCCCGUAAAAGAAACCCCAAGCCCGAAGAUGAAUCCCUAAAUGCAGCGUCAGUGUUAAGCUUCAGAUAGCCUGUACUUGGAGGGUUCCAAAUCUGACUAUGGUGAAGAAAUCUGCUUUCCCCUUAAAAUCGAAUUUCGGUCACACCAGAUGGCCCAACAGAUAUGGUUAAAGACAAGGCAAUAGGAGGUAGACAUUCAAGCCAACUAUGCAGUAGUCGUUAUGGUGUAUUCUGAGCGGCGUCUGCACUUCCAAUGUCCCCGUAGAUGGUGUUAUAUACGGGGUCAGUAUCCACAACUAUGUAGCAGUCGCUACACAUGACAUUCGACAAAAGGGAUAUGGCCCACGUCAUGUCCCUAUCUACUGACAGCCUCAUAAUUAUCGACUUGUCAGCACCACUUUUGAACAGUGAAAGUCGUGUAAUUUUUUUUCUUUUUGGAAAACGAAGAUCUCUAGAGAUACGUUCACUGAAUUGUUGUAGGGUGGAAUUAAAUGGAAUUAAAAUGUGUUCGGUACUGAACCUUUGAUGAUUGUCCUGCUCCUUCCAGCUUCCAUCAUGUAAAACUGUGGUUAGGAAUGAUUGCAUA
Momordica charantia (bitter melon) is the source of this 932-nucleotide non-coding RNA. Lineage: Eukaryota; Viridiplantae; Streptophyta; Magnoliopsida; Cucurbitales; Cucurbitaceae. The record is from RefSeq and is a predicted model, not a curated record.